Molecule: long non-coding RNA, 374 nt
Filed under: Phoenix dactylifera (date palm)
Lineage: Eukaryota; Viridiplantae; Streptophyta; Magnoliopsida; Arecales; Arecaceae
Description: long non-coding RNA (PDAC_LNC019330)
Source: RNAcentral
CGGCCCCAAUGCAGCACUGAAACAGGGGAGAUUUCCAAAUCGACCCAGCCUCCCAAUUCUCGCCAUCACCGUCCGCGUCUCCUCUGGAUUCAAGAUCCCAAAUCCCGGAUGACCCCGCCUCUUCCUCUUCAUCCCGCGAUGCAAUCCUCCCAGCAUCCGCGAGUUAAGCAUCAUCUUCCUCCCAGCCGAUUCUAGAAUCCAUCCUCUCCCCACUUCGUUCAUCGCGUCCCAACAUUCCAGAUCCUCCCAGAUUUCCUCUCAUCCCGCGAUGCAGCCAGCGAAUCAGGCGUUCGUCCGAAGCGUCUUCAAUGCAUCCAUGGCGCGAUUCAAGUCUGCAGCACAUCUCCGGCCAUCCGGAUUUCCUUCCACAGCCG